UGGGGAAUAUUGGACAAUGGGGGCAACCCUGAUCCAGCAAUGCCGCGUGUGUGAAGAAGGCCUUCGGGUUGUAAAGCACUUUUGUCAGUGAGGAAUGGUGCACAGUUAAUAGCUGUGUAUUUGACGUUAGCUGAAGAAUAAGCACCGGCUAACUCCGUGCCAGCAGCCGCGGUAAUACGGAGGGUGCGAGCGUUAUUCGGAAUUACUGGGCGUAAAGGGUACGCAGGCGGCCAUUUAAGUCAGAUGUGAAAGCCCCGGGCUCAACCUGGGAAUUGCAUUUGAAACUGGAUGGCUAGAGUAUGUCAGAGGAAGGCGGAAUUUCCAGUGUAGCAGUGAAAUGCGUAGAUAUUGGAAGGAACACCGAUGGCGAAGGCAGCCUUCUGGGGCAAUACUGACGCUCAUGUACGAAAGCGUGGGUAGCAAACA
This 426-nucleotide ribosomal RNA is filed under the name uncultured Pseudomonadota bacterium. Its description in RNAcentral is "bacterial SSU rRNA". It matches the Rfam family "Bacterial small subunit ribosomal RNA", at positions 355 to 774 of the family's 1533-position model. Lineage: Bacteria; Pseudomonadati; Pseudomonadota. The record is from RNAcentral.